The sequence is a non-coding RNA, 925 nucleotides long. It matches the Rfam family "Bacterial small subunit ribosomal RNA".
CAUACAGGUUUGGUCCCAACCUUAAAAUCAACUCCCUCUUGACUUACACAUGCAAGUAUCCGCACCCCCGUGAAAACGCCCCCACCUCCACAUAGGAAUAAGGAGCUGAUAUCAGGCACUAUAUCUGCCCAAGACAUCUAGCCAUGCCACGCCCACAAGGGUUCUCAGCAGUGAUUAACAUUAAAAAUGAACGUCAGUUCGACUUAGCCAAGGAAAACAGAGCCGGCCAAUCUGGUGCCAGCCGCCGCGGUUACACCACGUGGCUCAAAUUGAUUUCAACACGGCGUAAAGCGUGAUUAAAGAAAUAAACUACUGGGGUUAAACUUAAACUAAACUGUAGCACGUUUGUUUAUAAGAAAGCCUUCUUCGAAAGAUACCCCAACUCACCAACUUGAACUCACGACAACUGAGACACAAACUGGGAUUAGAUACCCCACUAUGCUCAGUCAUAAACUUUAACUUACACCCCCAUCGCCAGGGAACUACGAGCAAAGCUUAAAACCCAAAGGACUUGACGGUACCCCACAUCCUUCUAGAGGAGCCUGUCCUAUAACCGAUACCCCCCGUUUAACCUCACCACUUUUAGUUUAUCAGCCUGUAUACUUCCGUCGCCAACUUACCGGUGAGCGAACAAGUAAGUUCAAUGAUGCCCACCAAUACGUCAGGUCAAAGUGCAGCAAAUAAAGUGGCAAGAGAUGGGCUACACUCUCUAAUAUAGAAGACACGAAAGACUACAUGAAACUGUACUCAGAAGGCGGAUUUAACAGUAAGGGGGAAAUAGAAUAUCCUCCUUAACUUGGCACUGGGGUGUGUACACACCGCCCGUCACCCUCUUCAACAAAGCCUACCUAGUAAUUAACUUCAACUACUAAAUAGAAGAGGUAAGUCGUAACUUGGUAAGUAUACCGGAAGGUGUGCUUGGAAA